UAAAUGAGUAAUAAUAAUUCUUAUACUGUGAGAGAACGCCUAUUAAUAGAUACCAUCCUGUCUUUUUAUAGCUGCACGCCAAUAAAACAAAAAAAAACGAGGAAGAAUUACCAUAUGAUUGUAUACAAAGGAAGCACAAAGGUAUUCGAAGGACAUCAUUGUGUGAGUAUGGGUGAGAGAGGAGUGCAAAUGGAGGGAUCGACUCAAAGCAAACCACGCAUUCAUUGGUUUGGUGAAUGUGUAGAAGCACUUCUAGGUAGAUGCGGAUAGACAUCUGUGGAGUAGACACAGGAAGAGAGAGAGGAGGAGAAAGGGGAGAGAUACGGGACAGACGGGGAAGUGGAUGAGGGUGUCCCCUCCACUGCGUUUCCAAGUAUUCUCUCUCUGUCGAGUGCGCCGUUUCUGCUGUUCCAUCAUGUGGGGUGAAGGCAAGCAAGCGCGCCAGCAACAGCAGCAAUCGACUGACCAGCAACACAAGCGCAGUGCGAACGUGGAAAAUUCCAGUCCUAUUUCGUCUCUACCCUUUUAUGACAGGGGUGGCAGGAUGAAAGGUGGAAGAGGAGAAGCGUUAUUUUUUUAUUGCGCUCUCUCUCUACAGACGCAUUAACUCACGUCACGGUUGAGUAAUGUUGGUUUAUACUGGGUUAUUACAUUCCAUGCCUGCAUGGACUAGCUAUAUAUUUCAUUAUUAUGCUAAAAGGCAUUCUCUCACGAGAUUAUUUUAGGAUGCGAUAUAUCACAUUCUCUACGUGAAUGUUUUAUAAUGAAAUAAAUAUUGGAUGAACAGUUUAGCGACGAAAAAUAUUCUGUCCUGAUAAACAGGGCAAGGAGGAAAGCUCAAUCGAUUUUAACCAGCUUGCAGUCCGAAUCCCGGGUCUCGAGCAGGUGGCGGAAGAGAAGAGGAGAUCAUGAAUUUAUACGACCGAAAUUGUAAUGUUCUUUUACAAUAACUUUGAACAAACUUUGCAAGAUGCAAUCUCGCGAGACUUAAUGAGGCGUCGUCAGACUUGAAGUUUUUUUCAUCACUCCUCUUCCUCGCUGUCCAAGGCUAUUCGUAACUUGAACAAAACUCAUCAGGAGGGAAUCAAGCUUAGAAAGUCGUGCGCAACUCGUGGUGAAAUUGUGCUUGAGGGGAGACAAUAGAGGGGAUUGGUAAAUCACUGUACGUCACAGUACUUUUUAUCUCUUCGUCUCUCAUUCUCAAUCUUCUUUCUCCCCUCUCACUCCCGCCAUUUCCGUACUCAAGUUACGCUGCUACUACUAUAUCGCGGCAAUCUUGCCUGCUCCAUAAAGAGGAUUACCCUUUCUGCGCAAACUAACGUGGCUAUUGCGCAUACUAGUACGAAGUUUCUGUUAACCGUAGGACGGCUAUGUGGCGGGGUGGGAGAUGGGCGGGAUCGAUAGUCAAGUAUUCUGUGAAAUGAAUACCGGUAAUAUAUAUAUAUAUAUAUAUAAAUAUAUCGGGUGCAUAUUUGACCCCUUAAUCAUAUGUUUAUAGCUUUACAACGCAGACCACAACAAUGGGUCGGUACAAUAAUGGGCUUUGCUGAUUAUACUGUUUUCAUUAGCUUCCUGACCUUAACUUCCUGUAUUAACUUCUUAUAUUAACUUACUGAGGCAGCAAAAUAAUAUGCUAAUUUUUUGUUGCCAUAACUUUCAAAACUCAAUAAGUGACACGACUUUUGUAUGUGCAGAUUGCAGACAACAAACGGAGCGUGGCAACAACCCUCAGCCUGGAUUUUAUUUCUCAAUUCUUCUAUUCACUGUGAAUAAUGAGUCAUCGGAGUUUACUCACCUCAUAGACAGUGCUUUCACUUGAUUAACAAGAAUUAUUUUCGAGCUGGAUAACUAUGAUUAUACAAAUAUCCUCGCUCCAGUAAUUGAUGUGAAAAAUCCAUUUUUUCUUCGAUAUAUUAAUGAAUUCGGGUAAAUCAGUAUUCUACGUUUUUUUUAAAUCUACCAAAUCAAAUAGAGUUUCCUCAGUGAGGGCUAAGUAUACACCCCGACGUGCUAUUUGGAUAUCUCGGACAGAGAUCAAUAGACGGCAGAUUCGGCCGUUUUCGACAUGUUCCGUUAAGUUCCCCUACUAUAUUCGUCAUCGACCUCCAACCAUUACCAGCCACGCCUCGCUCGCGUUAACUUCAUAGAUAAAACCGUUAUUCGAAAUGCGAUUAUAUCAUCUACGCAUUAUAGAUUUUCCUUAAAAACUACGCGUUUAGAAAGCACCACUCGCUCACCCUCCCAGCAUAUACAUACACAAACACCAAAUGUCGUUUAUUUGGAUUCAACCACGCGUACCAGGAAGACGCCGUCGGUGAGUGACGAACCUGGAUGUUUAACCUCUUUUUGCAUGUACGAGGUCAAAGGGUUUUCAAUCAGCAGGACUGUCACAUUGUAUCAUACAAAAUUGUAUUUAUUUUUUCCCUUCUGACUUUAAAUAUUUAUCAUGAACUUUUAUAAUUUGUCUAUUAUUGCGUGACUGUUGUUACAUAAUUUUUUUCAUAAUAUGCAUCACUGAGGAAAAUCUAUACGUGUAUCGAAAUAUUUUUAUAUAAUAUCAUAACUUUGCUAACUCUGAAAAA
Non-coding RNA from Linepithema humile (Argentine ant), 2582 nucleotides. NCBI's taxonomy places the organism in Eukaryota, Metazoa, Arthropoda, Insecta, Hymenoptera, Formicidae. The record is from RefSeq and is a predicted model, not a curated record.